AAAAGGAGAGGAAAGGGAGGAGAGAAUUGAGAGAAAUAAUUUUUUUCUUCUGGUACAUUACGGAAAAUUUCAACUCGUGUCAUUCUUUCUUUUGAAAAAAUCCAGCCAUUCACCAUCCCAAAAUACAACAAAAAUACUUCACAUCCCUUUUUACACGCCAAAUGGUGGAGUCAAUAGUCGAGGUGAGGUUUCGUUGGAGCUCUGUUCACUAGCUUUGAUGUUCUUCUUUACUUAUGUUUGUUCGGCGUUCGUAUGAGUUAUUGUACCUGUUCAGGAGACUCAUUUAAUUGAAAAUUUUGCAUUAAAGGUCUAUUCCUUCUUCUGUUCUUUUUAUCUUAUUUCAUGUGACUAAACUUUUAUGCCUUUAAACUUUUUAUAAAUAAUAAUGUAAAUUAGUCAUUAAAUUCUACAUGCUAAAUCAUGUUUAUGAAAAUAUGGUAUUCAAAUAAAAGGUGACUUAAAACACUCAAAAAUCAAAUUUCAAGUAGCGACUCCGAAUAAUAAAUAACCCAACUUCAAAAUAUCAUUUUACUUGAAAAAACUCUUUAACCCACAAUUCAUAAUAGCACACAUAUAUUUUUUGGGAUAAAAAGGGGUGUGAUAGAUCAGCCAUGAACACCUAAUUUUUGACCAUAUUUAAUCUUUGUCACCUUCUUCUAUGUAAAUAUCUUUAGGGUUUUAAUCUAAAAAUUUAUACUUUUAAUUAUAGGAUAAAAAUACAAAAAUUUAAAAGGUCAAUUAUUACUAUUAAUAUUAUUUUUAUGUAUAUAUUUAUUUCUAAAUAAUAAAAUAAAAUCAAAAAAUUAAAUUUCAGGUGGGAUUAAAAUAAUAGGAAAAGGGGAAGUAUGGAGUUAAAAAAAUAAAAGUAAAAGUAGGUGGAAUUCUCUUUAAAAAGUAAAAGAAAGUGGAAAAUUAAACAAAAAACGUAAAGAAAUGUGGAAAUUUAAAAAUGAAAAGGAAAGAAAGUUGGAAUUAAAAAAUAAAAGUAAAGACAGCUGAUUUUUUUUAAAAUGUAAAAUAAAGUAGAAUUUUAAAAUAAAAGUAAAACAAAGUGGAUUUUUUCUUAAAGAAAAGUAAAAUAAGUGGAAAAUAAAAAAAAGAAAAAUUAAAAAAAAUGGGGUUUAAAUAAAAUAAAAGUAACUAAAGUUGGAAUUAAAAAAUAAAAGUAAAGAAAGGUGGGAAUUUAUUUAUUUAAAAAAAAGAAAAUGGGAAAUGGAAUUUCUUUUAGUUUAAAAAUAAUAAAUUAAUAAAAUAAUUUUUUAAAAUCUGAAAAAUGUCUAAAUUUUUUGCUAUAUAUAGAAGAGAAAAAUUAAUAAGAAGAAGAAAAAAAUAAUAAAAUAGAGAAAAGGGAGGAGAGAAUUGAGAGGAACAAAUUUCUUCUUCUACUCUACGAAGAAUUUCUACUCGUUUCUUUCAAAAAAAUCCAACAUUCACCACCCCAAAACCUAACAAAAAUACUUCCGAACAUCCCUUUUUACAUACCAAAUAGUGGAAUCAAUAGUCGAGGUCAAGGGAUGGUUGGCAUGUAAAAAAUGAUGUUUGAAGUAUUUUUGUUGGAUUUUGGGAUGGUGAUUGCUGGAUUUUUCAAAAGAAAGAGGAAGAAAAAAUAACACGAGUAGAAAUUGUUUAGAGUAGAAGAAGAAAAAAAUUUUGUUUCUCUCAAUUCUCUCCUUUUUUCUCCUCAUCUUCUUAAAUUCUCUCUUUUAUUUAUAGGGAAACAAAUCGAAAAUUUUCAGAUUUUUUUUAAAAAUUAUUUUAUUAUUUAUUUUUAAUUUAAAAAAUGUCACUUCCCAUUUUUCUUUUUUUUUUUGAAACUAAAUAAAUCCCCAUCUUUCUUUACUUUUAUUUUUUUAAUUCCAACUUUAAUUACUUUUAUUUUAUUUAAACCCCACUUUUCUUACUAUUUUUUAAUUUCCACUUAUUUUACUUUUCUUUGAAAACAAUCCACUUUCUUUUACUUUUUGUUUUUUAAUUUUCAGCUACAUUUACUUUUAUUUUUUAAUUUUAACUUUCUUUUACUUUUCAUUUAAAAAUUAAAAGUAAAAGAAAGUUGGAAUUAAAAAAUAAAAUUAAAGGUAGCUAAAAUUAAAAAAAACAGAAAGAAAUUUGGAAUCGACUCCUAAGCUGGUUGGGCUAUAAACAUUCCAUUUCUGACUGGAAGGAGGAACGUGAGUGGGUUAGUAAGCUGGCAAGAAGUAGAACUGGAGUAGCAGAAAUCACUUGUCUAUCUAUUUAGGAUCCUGGUGACAGUGAUAUGGAGAGAGCGUAAUAAAAUGAGAUUCCAGGGAGAAAAUUUGCUGAGCGAUAAUGUUUGUAAGGAAAUAGUAGUCUAUCUCCACUCAAGAGGGGCUUCAACUCAUAAAUGGAGGGCAGUUCUACAAAGUUUAAACCAUUACUCCUAGGCUACUCUUGGGACAAAAUUGUCACAUUUAUUAUCAAAUAGUGAUAUUGUAAUUCUUUUUUAGAGUGAUAAUAGGUGUAGUGACUGUAUAGUAUAUUAGAAUAGAUUGUCAGCAUCUAUAUUUGUACUUGUAUAUUUUUUUGACGGAAUCGAAUAGAAACUAUAUUUAUUCAAAAAAUAAAUAACAUGAAAGUUAAUUUACCGCAGCCAUCUACCACUUUUGUGUGAGGCAGAAGAAAGUGAACGAAUCUGUUUAUUAAAAAAAAUUAAUUAAAGUUGGAAUUUAAAAUAAAAUUAAUGAAAGGUGGGGAUUUAUUUAUUUUAAAAAAACAAAAAUGGAAAGUGGGAUUUCUUUUAAUUAAAAGAAGGAGGACGAAAGAACGACACGAGUAAAAAUUCUUCUAGAAUAGAAGAAGAAAAAAUUUGUUUCUCUCCAUUCUCUCCUCACUUUUCUCCCCUUUUUCUCCUCUUCUUCUUAAAUUCUAUCUUCUAUUUAUAGAAAAAAAUUCAAAAUUUUUCAGUUUUUAAAAAUUAUUUAUUAUUUUAAUUAAAAGAAAUCCCACUUCCCAUUUUCCUUUUUUUAUUAAAAACUAAAAUAAAUCCCCACUUUUCUUUACUUUUAUUUUUUAAAUUCCAACUUUAACUACUUUUAUUUUAUUUAAACCCCACAUUUUUAUUUUCCUCUUACUUUACUUUUCUUUUAAAAAAAAUCCACUUUCUUUUACUUUUUGUUUUUUAAUUUUCAGAUACCUUUACUUUUAUUGUUUAAUUCCAACUUUCUUUCACUUUUCAUUUUUAAAUUUCCACAUUACUUUACAUUUAUUUUUGAAGUCCAACACUUUCUUUUACUUUCUUAAAGAGAAUUCACCUACUUUUACUUAUAUUUUUUUAACUGCGUAAGUCUUUUCCUAUUAUUUUAAUCCCACCAGAAAUUAAUUUUUUUUUAAUUUUUCGGAUUUUACUUUAUAAUUUUAAAAUAAAUAUAAAAAAUUAAUUUUAAUAUUUUUUUUUGGUAAUUAAAGUUUUUUCAUUAAUCACCAAUGAAGUUGCAUUACAAACCACGGUCAAGCUUCAACUCGGCUGACUGUCUGAGAGCUAACAUAAUAACUACAGUUACUGUCCUAACUAUCUAACUUCUACUAUAUUUAAGGUGUUGCAAUUGUUGUCUAAUUCUUGGGGUGCCUCUAACAUUACAGUUAUACACUAUGUCUCUCAGUAGAGUAGUAUUACAUCGAAAAGUCUUGUUGAAUACUCUUGCAUUCCUUUCCAUCCAGAUAGCAUAUGCAACUUCAGCUGUGACCAUUUUGAAAAUGGCUGCAUGACAUGUUCGUCCCUUGGCUUUGGUAAUCAACCAUUGUACUUUCUGGUUCCAACUGUCUGUGACCAUUUUAAAAAUGGUUGCACGACCUGUUCGUCCCUUGGCUUUGGUAAUCAACCGUUGUACUUUCUGGUUCCAACUGAUACUAGGUAGGUACUGUUUCUGUAGCCAAUUUAUUACUCUUCCCCAUAGAUCCACAGUGACAGGGCAUUCCGUGAGCAGAUGAUCUCUUGUUUCAN
RNAcentral lists this long non-coding RNA (3958 nucleotides) under Nicotiana benthamiana. RNAcentral describes it as "long non-coding RNA (NBEN_LNC025089)". Lineage: Eukaryota; Viridiplantae; Streptophyta; Magnoliopsida; Solanales; Solanaceae. The record is from RNAcentral.